Molecule: non-coding RNA, 116 nt
Organism: Nipponia nippon (crested ibis)
Lineage: Eukaryota; Metazoa; Chordata; Aves; Pelecaniformes; Threskiornithidae
Source: Rfam
AUGCUCCGGUUUCUCUUCAGAUCGUAUAAAUCUUUCGCCUUUUACUAAAGAUUUCCGUGGAGAGGAACAAGUCUGAGUGUUUGACCAAUUUUUCGAGGCUCCAUUUCGGUGGAGCU